CUCCUACGGGAGGCAGCAGUGGGGAAUUUUGGACAAUGGGCGCAAGCCUGAUCCAGCCAUGCCGCGUGAGUGAAGAAGGCCUUCGGGUUGUAAAGCUCUUUCGGUGGGGACGAAACGGUCCGUGACAACACCACGGACUAAUGACGGUACCCGCAUAAGAAGCACCGGCUAACUACGUGCCAGCAGCCGCGGUAAUACGUAGGGUGCAGGCGUUAAUCGGAAUUACUGGGCGUAAAGCGUGCGCAGGCGGCUCCUUAAGUCAGAUGUGAAAUCCCCGGGCUUAACCUGGGAACUGCGUUUGAAACUGGGGAGCUUGAGUGUGGAAGAGGGGGGUGGAAUUCCAGGUGUAGCAGUGAAAUGCGUAGAGAUCUGGAGGAACACCGAUGGCGAAGGCAGCCCCCUGGGCUGACACUGACGCUCAUGCACGAAAGCGUGGGGAGCAAACAGGAUUAGAUACCCUGGUAGUCCACGCCCUAAACGAUGUCAACUGGUUGUCGGGGAAGUUAUUCCUUGGUAACGAAGCUAACGCGUGAAGUUGACCGCCUGGGGAGUACGGCCGCAAGGUUAAAACUCAAAGGAAUUGACGGGGACCCGCACAAGCGGUGGAUUAUGUGGAUUAAUUCGAUGCAACGCGAAAAACCUUACCUACCCUUGACUUGUACGGAAGCCCGCAGAGAU
This 678-nucleotide ribosomal RNA is filed under the name uncultured bacterium. Its description in RNAcentral is "bacterial SSU rRNA". It matches the Rfam family "Bacterial small subunit ribosomal RNA", at positions 336 to 1007 of the family's 1533-position model. The record is from RNAcentral.